This 538-nucleotide long non-coding RNA is filed under the name Rattus norvegicus (Norway rat). RNAcentral describes it as "long non-coding RNA NONRATT029734". Lineage: Eukaryota; Metazoa; Chordata; Mammalia; Rodentia; Muridae. The record is from RNAcentral.
CCUUCUGUGUUUUUAAAAAAUUGGAAGCUAUCCCAGUCAUUGGAACUAGCACUCAGGCCCCUCCCACGAUUGUGGAAUAGGUUUUAUUGCCUUUUCUGUUUCUCCAGUGCACACCUUAAAGUUCUUCUAUUUGUGUCUUAAUUACUUUAAGAUAAUUAGCAUGAGUGUUGACAUUCAGCUGUUUGUGCUAUGCAAGGAUGUCCUCACAGGCUGAAUUCUGCUGAUGCUGCAGCUUAACGAAACACCCACCACCCAGUGCCAGGGACUUGCUGCAGUUUGGCAGUUUCCUUGCUGAAAUCUUUGCCCCUUUUGGGUGGACCUUGAUUAGAGUUCUGCCAAGCACCACAGGAACGCACACCUUCGCUUUCGUUCAGAAAUAGCAAUGGUUAUUUCUAACAGCUUGUAAUGGUUAAUAGUUUAAUAGGAUAGUGCCUAAUUUUUUGCUAUAAUAUUCACUGGCUAUGUCCCUGUGUCAGAAUGAAAUUUAUAGCUCAUGGAAAAUUUUCCUUUGUUUUUGUAAGCCAAAAAAAAAAAAAAA